This 654-nucleotide ribosomal RNA is filed under the name uncultured bacterium. Its description in RNAcentral is "bacterial SSU rRNA". It matches the Rfam family "Bacterial small subunit ribosomal RNA", at positions 53 to 709 of the family's 1533-position model. The record is from RNAcentral.
ACCUGCAGUCGAGGGGUAUAGUUCUUCGGAACUAGAGACCGGCGCACGGGUGCGUAACGCGUAUGCAAUCUGCCUUUUACAGAGGGAUAGCCCAGAGAAAUUUGGAUUAAUACCUCAUAGUAUGCAGAGUUGGCAUCAACACUGCAUUAAAGUCACAACGGUAAAAGAUGAGCAUGCGUCCCAUUAGCUAGUUGGUAAGGUAACGGCUUACCAAGGCUACGAUGGGUAGGGGUCCUGAGAGGGAGAUCCCCCACACUGGUACUGAGACACGGACCAGACUCCUACGGGGGGCAGCAGUGAGGAAUAUUGGACAAUGGGCGCAAGCCUGAUCCAGCCAUGCCGCGUGCAGGAUGACAGUCCUAUGGAUUGUAAACUGCUUUUGUACGGGAAGAAACACUCCUUCGUGAAGGAGCUUGACGGUACCGUAAGAAUAAGGAUCGGCUAACUCCGUGCCAGCAGCCGCGGUAAUACGGAGGAUCCAAGCGUUAUCCGGAAUCAUUGGGUUUAAAGGGUCCGUAGGCGGUUUAGUAAGUCAGUGGUGAAAGCCCAUCGCUCAACGGUGGAACGGCCAUUGAUACUGCUAGACUUGAAUUAUUAGGAAGUAACUAGAAUAUGUAGUGUAGCGGUGAAAUGCUUAGAGAUUACAUGGAAUAC